This 420-nucleotide ribosomal RNA is filed under the name Triticum aestivum (bread wheat). RNAcentral's name for it is "partial small subunit ribosomal RNA". Lineage: Eukaryota; Viridiplantae; Streptophyta; Magnoliopsida; Poales; Poaceae. The record is from RNAcentral.
AUGGUCGACAAGGCCUGCGGGGGCACCGAGAAGGAGGCCAGCAGCGUCGCCCACAUCGAGCACUUGUUUGCCGAGCUCUCCUCGGUCGGUCAGAAGGUGCUUCAAUUCAAUAUGCUGUCCACGUCUGGUGGGCAGGAUGCCCUCAAGGAAUCCGUGGACAAGCAUGGCGGCUGCCCCGGCAACAAGACGGUCUAUCUAUAUUCUGCCCAAUGCAGCGCGGACUGCAACGAGGCAUGCUCUAACCACUGCGACAUGGACUGCCCCUACAUAGCCGCAAGAUUUGGCUACAUCAUGGCUACACCUGCCAAUAAGAAAGCCAUCGACCAAGACAUGGAAUGCUUCAAGCGUUGCUCAAAGGAAAAGGAUGCCACAAAUGACAAAUGCCGCGUUGCAUGCAAGCUGGCUGCCUCGCUCCCUUGA